RNAcentral lists this ribosomal RNA (640 nucleotides) under beta proteobacterium SCGC AAA043-P09. RNAcentral describes it as "bacterial SSU rRNA". It matches the Rfam family "Bacterial small subunit ribosomal RNA", at positions 209 to 842 of the family's 1533-position model. Lineage: Bacteria; Pseudomonadati; Pseudomonadota; Betaproteobacteria. The record is from RNAcentral.
GACCUCGCGCGACUGGAGCGGCCGAUAUCAGAUUAGGUAGUUGGUGAGGUAAAGGCUCACCAAGCCAACGAUCUGUAGCUGGUCUGAGAGGACGACCAGCCACACUGGAACUGAGACACGGUCCAGACUCCUACGGGAGGCAGCAGUGGGGAAUUUUGGACAAUGGACGAAAGUCUGAUCCAGCCAUUCCGCGUGCAGGAUGAAGGCCCUCGGGUUGUAAACUGCUUUUGUACAGAACGAAAAGGUCUCCAUUAAUACUGGGGGCUCAUGACGGUACUGUAAGAAUAAGCACCGGCUAACUACGUGCCAGCAGCCGCGGUAAUACGUAGGGUGCAAGCGUUAAUCGGAAUUACUGGGCGUAAAGCGUGCGCAGGCGGUUAUAUAAGACAGAUGUGAAAUCCCCGGGCUCAACCUGGGAACUGCAUUUGUGACUGUAUAGCUAGAGUACGGUAGAGGGGGAUGGAAUUCCGCGUGUAGCAGUGAAAUGCGUAGAUAUGCGGAGGAACACCGAUGGCGAAGGCAAUCCCCUGGACCUGUACUGACGCUCAUGCACGAAAGCGUGGGGAGCAAACAGGAUUAGAUACCCUGGUAGUCCACGCCCUAAACGAUGUCAACUGGUUGUUGGGUCUUAACUGACUCA